Molecule: ribosomal RNA, 466 nt
Filed under: uncultured bacterium
Lineage: Bacteria
Description: partial 16S ribosomal RNA
Rfam family: Bacterial small subunit ribosomal RNA
Source: RNAcentral
GACGAACGCUGGCGGCGUGCUUAACACAUGCAAGUCGAACGGAAAGGCCCUGCUUGCAGGGUACUCGAGUGGCGAACGGGUGAGUAACACGUGGGUGAUCUGCCCUGCACUUCGGGAUAAGCCUGGGAAACUGGGUCUAAUACCGGAUAGGAGCCAUUUUUAGUGUGAUGGUUGGAAAGUUUUUUUCGGUGUAGGAUGAGCUCGCGGCCUAUCAGCUUGUUGGUGGGGUAAUGGCCUACCAAGGCGGCGACGGGUAGCCGGCCUGAGAGGGUGGACGGCCACAUUGGGACUGAGAUACGGCCCAGACUCCUACGGGAGGCAGCAGUGGGGAAUAUUGCACAAUGGGCGCAAGCCUGAUGCAGCGACGCCGCGUGGGGGAUGACGGCCUUCGGGUUGUAAACUCCUUUCGCUAGGGACGAAGCUUUUUGUGACGGUACCUAGAUAAGAAGCGCCGGCUAACUACGUG